AGUGAACGCUGGCGGUAGGCCUAACACAUGCAAGUCGAACGGCAGCACCGUAAGAGCUUGCUCUUACGGGUGGCGAGUGGCGGACGGGUGAGGAAUACAUCGGAAUCUACUUUUUCGUGGGGGAUAACGUAGGGAAACUUACGCUAAUACCGCAUACGACCUACGGGUGAAAGCAGGGGAUCUUCGGACCUUGCGCGAUUGAAUGAGCCGAUGUCGGAUUAGCUAGUUGGCGGGGUAAAGGCCCACCAAGGCGACGAUCCGUAGCUGGUCUGGGAGGAUGAUCAGCCACACUGGAACUGAGACACGGUCCAGACUCCUACGGGAGGCAGCAGUGGGGAAUAUUGGACAAUGGGCGCAAGCCUGAUCCAGCCAUACCGCGUGGGUGAAGAAGGCCUUCGGGUUGUAAAGCCCUUUUGUUGGGAAAGAAAAGCAGCAGGUUAAUACCCCGCUGUUCUGACGGUACCCAAAGAAUAAGCACCGGCUAACUUCGUG
Molecule: ribosomal RNA, 492 nt
Filed under: uncultured bacterium
Lineage: Bacteria
Description: partial 16S ribosomal RNA
Rfam family: Bacterial small subunit ribosomal RNA
Source: RNAcentral